RNAcentral lists this ribosomal RNA (467 nucleotides) under uncultured bacterium. RNAcentral describes it as "partial 16S ribosomal RNA". It matches the Rfam family "Bacterial small subunit ribosomal RNA", at positions 28 to 507 of the family's 1533-position model. The record is from RNAcentral.
GACGAACGCUGGCGGCGUGCUUAACACAUGCAAGUCGAACGGAAAGGCCUCUUUCGGGGGGUACUCGAGUGGCGAACGGGUGAGUAACACGUGAGUAACCUGCCCUUGACUUUGGGAUAACUUCAGGAAACUGGGGCUAAUACCGGAUAGGAGCUCCUGCUGCAUGGUGGGGGUUGGAAAGUUUCGGCGGUUGGGGAUGGACUCGCGGCGUAUCAGCUUGUUGGUGGGGGAGUGGCUUACCAAGGCUUUGACGGGUAGCCGGCCUGAGAGGGUGACCGGCCACAUUGGGACUGAGAGACGGCCCAGACUCCUACGGGAGGCAGCAGUGGGGAAUAUUGCACAAUGGGUGGAAGCCUGAUGCAGCAACGCCGUGUGCGGGAUGACGGCCUUCGGGUUGUAAACCGCUUUCGCUCAUGACGAAGCUUUGUGUGACGGUAGUGGGUAAAGAAGCACCGGCUAAAUACGUG